ACCGUGUGAGACGCACCUGCUUCCCCUUCCACUGUGAUGUGUGGGAACGGACUAACACAGAGGCCAUAUAUACAAAAUUUGGGUGUGCUUUCCUAUUUAACAAGGAACUUUGAGUGAGGUUCAGAGCAAGAGAAAUGCUGGCCUGCUGACUAGGCUGCCAGACAAGCCUUUCUUCCACUUGGCCCUAUGACGUGGUGAACCCAUGGCAAUCUGAGUGUCUGAGGAGUGUGAGAAUGUCAUAUGGAGGGCCAGGCACAUGGGGCUCACACCUGUAGUCCCAGCACUUCGGGAGGCUGCGGCACGUCGAUCACUUGAGUGCAGGGAGUUCAAGACCAGCCUGGGCAAUAUAGUAAGACCUCAUCUCUUAAAAGAAUGUUGUGUGGAGCCUGUGGCAAACCUUGACAGAACAACCACAAUCAUGGUUAUUGAUGAGUAUUGUUGAGUGAUCGCCUCAUCAACAGGUCACCAUUCCCUUUUGAGAAACAGCUGCUGGCUUGCUCAUGGGUUGAGUAGACAGCACAUUUCACUGCAAUUCACUAAAAGAUCAUGCAACAUAAGCUGUCAAUCAGUACCUGGUGUUGUCUGAUCCACCAAGCCAUAGAGAUGGGCCUGUCCAACAAAACUAUCAUAAACAUGGAGGCAGUACAUGUGAGGUUUGUUAUGGACUGAAUAGUGUUCCCCCAAAAUUCAUAUUUUGAAGGCCUAGACCCCGUUUGCAGACAGGACCUUUAAGGAAGUGAGGUAACCAUCAAGGUUAAGUGAGGUCAUCAGGGUGGGUCCUGACCCAAUGGGACUGGUGUCCAUAAGAAAAGGUGUGACACCAGACAUGAGCACACACAGGAGAGACCACCUGAGGACCUGCAGAGAAGGCGGCUCUCUGUGAGGCAAGGAGAGAGUCCUCGGCAGAAACCAACCCCAUCAGCACCUUGAUCUUGGACUUCUAGCCUCUAGAGCCGUGAGAAAUACACUUCCAUUAUGACAGCCCGAACAGACUGACACGAGGUUGUCCUCAAGCAUAUCCGAGACACCCUGAGACACCACAUGAGCAGGAGGCUCGCCCUCCAAAGGCACCCACUCCCUCUGCAAUCCUUGCUCCUCCACCUGCAUUUUUGGUUUUAUGGGGAGUUCCCUAAAACAAGCUGAGGAAUGAAAAAUGGAGCCUGGUGUACAGAUGGUUCUGCAUACUAGGCUGGUGCGGCGGGCCCGGGCUCAGCAUCACAGCCCUACUCCAGCUGGCCCUGAUGGACGUGGUGGAAAGGAAUUCCAUGCAGCUGGCCAAACUUCAAGCCUCACACCUGAUUAUCCUCUCCUUUACCUGGAGGGACAGUUGAUGAUCAGGGGCUUAGAAGGCACAGGUUUGGAGGAUUGGAGUUGAGGAGGUAUGUGGACCGACAGACCGUGUGGAGGGGUCUGGAGGUGAGGGGGCUUUUGUGCUCCACGUGCGUGCUCCCCAGGACUCCUCCUGCACCUGCAAGCUCGGUGGGGGUGGGGGUGGGGGUGGGGGGCGUGGUUCAGGGGAUUCCCAGCUCUGCAGAGGUCGCCAGCUCUGCUGCUCUAUCCCAGCCUUUCACAAAGCGCGCAUCCGUGUGGCCGUGGUGGCGUGGAUGGAGAUUAUACGUGGGCUGAACACCAACAAGUGGGUGCGGACCUUCCUCCCGCUUUACCCUGAAGUCCCAGCCCGGAGCACGCGGCCGUGGUGAGCUGCGAUCCC
Molecule: long non-coding RNA, 1711 nt
Filed under: Homo sapiens (human)
Lineage: Eukaryota; Metazoa; Chordata; Mammalia; Primates; Hominidae
Description: HSALNT0170392
Source: RNAcentral